Non-coding RNA from Salmo salar (Atlantic salmon), 54 nucleotides. The record is from Rfam. NCBI's taxonomy places the organism in Eukaryota, Metazoa, Chordata, Actinopteri, Salmoniformes, Salmonidae.
CAAAGACUGCAUUGUAAGUCGCUCUGGAUAAGAGCGUCUGCUAAAUGACUUAAA